Molecule: ribosomal RNA, 735 nt
Filed under: uncultured marine bacterium
Lineage: Bacteria
Description: bacterial SSU rRNA
Rfam family: Bacterial small subunit ribosomal RNA
Source: RNAcentral
GGCAGACGGGUGAGUAACAUGUGGGUAUCUGCCCUUUGGCCUGGAAUAACACGAGGAAACUUGUGCUAAUACCGGAUAAGUCUUUACGGAGAAAGCUUUAUGCACCAUUGGAUGAGCCCGCACUUGAUUAGUUUGUUGGUAGGGUAAUGGCCUACCAAGACUGUGAUCAAUAGCUGAUUUGAGAGGAUGAUCAGCCACAUUGGGACUGAGACACGGCCCAAACUCCUACGGGAGGCAGCAGUGGGGAAUCUUGCACAAUGGAGGAAACUCUGAUGCAGCGAUGCCGCGUGAGUGAAGAAGGCCUUUGGGUUGUAAAGCUCUUUCGUCGGGGAAGAAAAUGACUGUACCCGAAUAAGAAGGUCCGGCUAACUUCGUGCCAGCAGCCGCGGUAAUACGAAGGGACCUAGCGUAGUUCGGAAUUACUGGGCUUAAAGAGUUCGUAGGUGGUUGAAAAAGUUGGUGGUGAAAUCCCAGAGCUUAACUCUGGAACUGCCAUCAAAACUUUUCAGCUAGAGUUUGAUAGAGGAAAGCAGAAUUUCUAGUGUAGAGGUGAAAUUCGUAGAUAUUAGAAAGAAUACCAAUUGCGAAGGCAGCUUUCUGGAUCAUUACUGACACUGAGGAACGAAAGCAUGGGUAGCGAAGAGGAUUAGAUACCCUCGUAGUCCAUGCCGUAAACGAUGUGUGUUAGACGUUGGAAAUUUAUUUUCAGUGUCGCAGCGAAAACGAUAAACACAC